UCCGUUGUGUGUUUCCCGUUCUCUGUAGUCGGAGCGCUGAAAGAUCCUAACCAGAUCUCUCUCAUUCCGACCUCUGUUCAGGUGAG
Molecule: ribosomal RNA, 86 nt
Filed under: Thrips tabaci
Lineage: Eukaryota; Metazoa; Arthropoda; Insecta; Thysanoptera; Thripidae
Description: partial 28S ribosomal RNA
Source: RNAcentral